RNAcentral lists this Y RNA (113 nucleotides) under Carlito syrichta (Philippine tarsier). RNAcentral describes it as "Y RNA (ENSTSYG00000027210.1)". It matches the Rfam family "Y RNA". From Rfam's summary of the family: Y RNAs are components of the Ro ribonucleoprotein particle (Ro RNP), in association with Ro60 and La proteins. The Y RNAs and Ro60 and La proteins are well conserved, but the function of the Ro RNP is not known. In humans the RNA component can be one of four small RNAs -- hY1, hY3, hY4 and hY5. Lineage: Eukaryota; Metazoa; Chordata; Mammalia; Primates; Tarsiidae. The record is from RNAcentral.
AGCUGGUCCGAAGGUCCCAAGCUAUCUCAGUGGAUUAUUCACAGUCAGUUACAGACUGAAUUCCUUGCUCUACUCUUUGCCCCCUUCUCACUACUGCACACGACUAGUCUUAA